UCGGGAAUAUUGCGCAAUGGAGGAAACUCUGACGCAGUGACGCCGCGUAUAGGAAGAAGGUUUUCGGAUUGUAAACUAUUUUAGUCAGGGAAGAGAAUGGACAGUACCUGAAGAAUAAGCUCCGGCUAACUACGUGCCAGCAGCCGCGGUAAUACGUAGGGAGCGAGCGUUAUCCGGAAUUAUUGGGUGUAAAGGGUGCGUAGACGGGAAUAUAAGUUAGUUGUGAAAUCCCUCGGCUUAACUGAGGAACUGCAACUAAAACUAUAUUUCUUGAGUGCAGGAGAGGAAAGUGGAAUUCCUAGUGUAGCGGUGAAAUGCGUAGAUAUUAGGAGGAACACCAGUGGCGAAGGCGGCUUUCUGGACUGUAACUGACGUUGAGGCACGAAAGUGUGGGGAGCAAACA
RNAcentral lists this ribosomal RNA (403 nucleotides) under uncultured Bacillota bacterium. RNAcentral describes it as "uncultured Firmicutes bacterium partial 16S ribosomal RNA". It matches the Rfam family "Bacterial small subunit ribosomal RNA", at positions 355 to 774 of the family's 1533-position model. The record is from RNAcentral. Lineage: Bacteria; Bacillati; Bacillota.